GCUGGGCACAGUGGCACAUGCCUGUAAUCCCUGCAGCUCAGGAGGCUGAGGCAGGAGUAUUGCAAGUUUGAGGCCAGCCUCAGCAACUUAGUGAGGCUGUAAGCAACUUAAGGAGAUCCUGUCUCAA
Molecule: small RNA, 127 nt
Filed under: Marmota monax (woodchuck)
Lineage: Eukaryota; Metazoa; Chordata; Mammalia; Rodentia; Sciuridae
Source: RNAcentral